This 417-nucleotide small RNA is filed under the name Histoplasma ohiense. RNAcentral's name for it is "hypothetical lncRNA". The record is from RNAcentral. Lineage: Eukaryota; Fungi; Ascomycota; Eurotiomycetes; Onygenales; Ajellomycetaceae.
GACCCGCGCUCCUAUGAGUUCCAUUUGUUGCGCCAAGAGGUUACCACAAGUUAUGUGUGUGGUGUGGUGUGUGUGUGUUUGCAAAGAAAAAUAAACAAAUACAUCAACAAGAACCUAUGCAAAAACCUCUCUUGGGUGGUCAAGCGAGUACUCUGGCUGUCUUAGCACCGAAAAUUCAGCAUGGUGUGGCAAAACACAGCACUCAAAGCAGGCUGGAGUGAGAUCAUAACCCUUUUGUUCUUUUGUUCCCGCCACCGCGCUGUUCUGUUGUUCGAUUAAAUUUUUCGGUGGGGCCCCUGCUCAAAUCAUAUCUACUUUAGGCUCAGCCCGGGGAGCGGGAAUCACAGAUUUUAAGAAUUAAGCGUAAAGUCAGGGUAGGCGAGGCAAGCAAAAAAUAAAAAUAAAAAUUAAAAAAGA